RNAcentral lists this unclassified non-coding RNA (306 nucleotides) under uncultured fungus. Its description in RNAcentral is "sequence contains ITS1". The stretch from base 1 to 99 matches the Rfam family "5.8S ribosomal RNA", at positions 50 to 154 of the family's 154-position model. Lineage: Eukaryota; Fungi. The record is from RNAcentral.
GAAGUGCGACAAGUGUCAUGACUUGCAGAUUCCCGAGAGCUGACAAAUUUCUGAAUGCAAAUGGCGGCCGUCAAAACGGCCAUGUAUCGCAGAGUGUAGUUGUUCAUACUCAUCAUCCCCCUCAGCCAAAGACUUCUUGGCUGUGGAGACGGGAUCUGCGCUUGCGAUGUUUCCACGCGAGCGUGAAAAAAUGGAGCGCUCUGCGUUGCCUCGGCAGCGCAGCGGCGACUUCGCUUCAACCACGAAGUUCCUCUCCAAACACUCAUUCAUCCACCUCUGCGAUGCAGGAUAACCCGCUGAACUUAA